Molecule: ribosomal RNA, 252 nt
Filed under: uncultured bacterium
Lineage: Bacteria
Description: partial 16S ribosomal RNA
Rfam family: Bacterial small subunit ribosomal RNA
Source: RNAcentral
ACAGAGGUGGCGAGCGUUGUUCGGAUUUACUGGGCGUAAAGGGUGCGUAGGCGGUUAUGUAUGUCGGAUGUGAAAUCCCAGGGCUCAACUUUGGAAUUGCAUCCGAAACUGCAUAACUUGAGUGCAGGAUGGGAGAGCGGAAUUCUUGGUGUAGCGGUGAAAUGCGUUGAUAUCAAGAAGAACACCGGCGGCGAAGGCGGCUCUCUGGAAUGUUACUGACGCUGAGGCACGAAAGCUGGGGGAGCGAACAGG